Molecule: long non-coding RNA, 1276 nt
Filed under: Homo sapiens (human)
Lineage: Eukaryota; Metazoa; Chordata; Mammalia; Primates; Hominidae
Description: HSALNT0361413
Source: RNAcentral
CUCAGACUCCACGCCCGUGGGAGUAGUGAGAGGCAUAGGAUGGGACAGAAGGAGAUGCUAAACAGUGAUGCAGAAGCAGCGAAGACCUCCGCAAUCCUGCAGGGAAGCUUGGGAGCUGGUACGGCCCUGCAGAGAUGCACUGAGGGAAGCCAAGCUGCCAUGUUGUAAGCUGCCCUAUGAAGGGACCCACAUGGCAAAGAAUGGAGAAUGACCCCAGCCAGCCAAGAACUCUCAGCCUACCGGCCCAUGAGGAACUGAAUCCUGCCAACAGCGAUGUGAGUGAACUUGGAAGUGGAUCCUUCUCCAGUGGCACCAUCAGCAGUUUGAGGAAAAUAAACUUGAAUAUAUCAGUCCUAAUCCAGAAAGGCUUGAGAUGGUUGGUUGGAGAGUGUUUUCCAUGAUGUUGGCCUGAAGCCCUUCAGCCACUUUGAACAGGUAGGCAUAUGUCUCCGUGUGAAAUCUAUUUGUAACCCAAGACGAUGCUGUCAAUACAACAGGAAACUCUUUGCCUCCUCUAGCCUGUGGGCAGGAAUAGGGUCCCAGUGACGGUACUACCUCAGACCUCACUAUGUCGUAACUUCCUUCUGCUCACAACCACUCCAAAGUGCCCUCUGAAUGCUUCUGGGCUCCCAGGGGAGGUCUUGGGUGUGCCUGCCACGAGGUGAGUUCUUGAGCCCCAGGUGGCUCCUUCCCUUUCCCCACAAGUCUCAAGGUCUGUGGCUCUCUCUGCUUCUGCUCCACAGGGUGCCCCCACUGGUGUCCUGAAGCUCAUCCUGCACCAAGCAGAAGCGAGCAGAAGAACCCCACACCCUGCCCCUGCUGCAACACACUCACCUGGAGACCUAAAAUGUGACCUCCAUGUCCCCUCUGUGAGAACAGCUUCUUCCACCUCUGCUGUGGGGAACAGCAGCAUCCCAGGCAGAGGGAACUGCAUAUGCAAGGAACCUGGGUGGGGUGGGGGGCAAUGGUGGCCGGCGUUUGAAGAACAGUAAGGCAGUCAAUGUUGCUGGAGCCCAGAGAGAUAAUGAAAGGUGGAUGACGUGGGGUCUUAUAGGUCACCAUGAGAGCUUUACUCUAAGGUGUUGGGAAGCCAGACACCUGCAGACAUGUCUGCAAAUACCUUUGAGGUUUGUCUGAAUCCUCAGCUGCAGAGGAAAACACAGGAAGUAUGGGAGUUCCCCACAAGAGUUCACAUUUGAACUAGGUUGUUUUUUUUUUAACCGCAACCUCUGCCUCCUAGUUGCAAGUGACUCUCCUGUCUCAGCCUCUCGAGUAG